Molecule: ribosomal RNA, 497 nt
Filed under: uncultured bacterium
Lineage: Bacteria
Description: partial 16S ribosomal RNA
Rfam family: Bacterial small subunit ribosomal RNA
Source: RNAcentral
GAUGAACGCUGGCGGCGUGCCUAAUACAUGCAAGUCGAGCGAACAGACGAGGAGCUUGCACCUCUGACGUUAGCGGCGGACGGGUGAGUAACACGUGGAUAACCUACCUAUAAGACUGGGUUAACUUCGGGAAACCGGAGCUAAUACCGGAUAAUAUAUUGAACCGCAUGGUUCAAUAGUGAAAGACGGUUUUGCUGUCACUUAUAGAUGGAUCCGCGCCGCAUUAGCUAGUUGGUAAGGUAACGGCUUACCAAGGCAACGAUGCGUAGCCGACCUGAGAGGGUGAUCGGCCACACUGGAACUGAGACACGGUCCAGACUCCUACGGGAGGCAGCAGUAGGGAAUCUUCCGCAAUGGGCGAAAGCUUGACGGAGCAACGCCGCGUGAGUGAUGAAGGUCUUCGGAUCGUAAAACUCUGUUAUUAGGGAAGAACAAAUGUGUAAGUAACUAUGCACGUCUUGACGGUACCUAAUCAGAAAGCCACGGCUAACUACGUG